This 207-nucleotide ribosomal RNA is filed under the name uncultured bacterium. Its description in RNAcentral is "partial 16S ribosomal RNA". It matches the Rfam family "Bacterial small subunit ribosomal RNA", at positions 568 to 774 of the family's 1533-position model. The record is from RNAcentral.
UCCGUAGGCGGGCAAUUAAGUCAGGGGUGAAAGUCUGCGGCUCAACCGUAGGACUGCCCUUGAUACUGGUUGUCUUGAAUCGUUGUGAAGUGGCUAGAAUGAGCAGUGUAGCGGUGAAAUGCAUAGAUAUCGCUCAGAAUACCGAUUGCGAAGGCAGGUCACUAACAACGUAUUGACGCUGAGGGACGAAAGCGUGGGGAGCGAACA